This 305-nucleotide ribosomal RNA is filed under the name uncultured bacterium. Its description in RNAcentral is "bacterial SSU rRNA". It matches the Rfam family "Bacterial small subunit ribosomal RNA", at positions 337 to 659 of the family's 1533-position model. The record is from RNAcentral.
UCCUACGGGAGGCAGCAGUGGGGAAUAUUGCACAAUGGGGGAAACCCUGAUGCAGCGACGCCGCGUGAGUGAGGAAGUAUUUCGGUAUGUAAAGCUCUAUCAGCAGGGAAGAAAAUGACGGUACCUGACUAAGAAGCCCCGGCUAACUACGUGCCAGCAGCCGCGGUAAUACGUAGGGGGCAAGCGUUAUCCGGAUUUACUGGGUGUAAAGGGAGCGUAGACGGAGGAGCAAGUCUGAAGUGAAAUACCCGGGCUCAACCUGGGAAUUGCUUUGGAAACUGUAUGGCUGGAGUGCUGGAGAGGUA